GCUCGUGUCGUGAGAUGUUGGGUUAAGUCCCGCAACGAGCGCAACCCCUAUCUUAUGUUGCCAGCACUUCGGGUGGGAACUCAUGAGAGACUGCCGCAGACAAUGCGGAGGAAGGCGGGGAUGACGUCAAAUCAUCAUGCCCCUUAUGACCUGGGCUACACACGUACUACAAUGGGAGUUAAUAGACGGAAGCGAGAUCGCGAGAUGGAGCAAACCCGAGAAACACUCUCUCAGUUCGGAUCGUAGGCUGCAACUCGCCUACGUGAAGUCGGAAUCGCUAGUAAUCGCAGGUCAGCAUACUGCGGUGAAUACGUUCCCGGGCCUUGUACACACCGCCCGUCACACCACGAAAGUCGGAAGUGCCCAAAGCCGGUGGGGUAACCUUCGGGAGCCAGCCGUCUAAGGUAAAGUCGAUGAUUGGGGUGAAGUCGUAACAAGGUAGCCGUAUCGGAAGGUGCGGCUGGAUCACCUCCUUU
RNAcentral lists this ribosomal RNA (476 nucleotides) under Streptococcus pneumoniae. RNAcentral's name for it is "bacterial SSU rRNA". It matches the Rfam family "Bacterial small subunit ribosomal RNA", at positions 1058 to 1533 of the family's 1533-position model. Lineage: Bacteria; Bacillati; Bacillota; Bacilli; Lactobacillales; Streptococcaceae. The record is from RNAcentral.